UGAUUUGCAGGGGGGGAUGCCUAUGCC
This 27-nucleotide small RNA is filed under the name Bombyx mori (domestic silkworm). RNAcentral describes it as "ovarian small RNA-33206". Lineage: Eukaryota; Metazoa; Arthropoda; Insecta; Lepidoptera; Bombycidae. The record is from RNAcentral.